RNAcentral lists this ribosomal RNA (253 nucleotides) under uncultured bacterium. RNAcentral describes it as "partial 16S ribosomal RNA". It matches the Rfam family "Bacterial small subunit ribosomal RNA", at positions 524 to 776 of the family's 1533-position model. The record is from RNAcentral.
UACGUAGGUGUCAAGCGUUGUCCGGAUUUACUGGGCGUAAAGAGCGCGCAGGCGGUCGGAUAAGUCGAAUGUGAAAGCCCCCGGCUCAACUGGGGAGGGUCAUUCGAUACUGUUCGACUCGAAGGCAGGAGAGGGAAGUGGAAUUCCCGGUGUAGUGGUGAAAUGCGUAGAUAUCGGGAGGAACACCAGUGGCGAAGGCGACUUCCUGGCCUGUUCUUGACGCUGAGGCGCGAAAGCUAGGGGGGCAAACGGG